GAUGAAGAACGCAGCGAAAUGCGAUAAGUAAUGUGAAUUGCAGAAUUCAGUGAAUCAUCGAAUCUUUGAACGCACAUUGCGCCCCCUGGUAUUCCGGGGGGCAUGCCUGUUCGAGCGUCAUUUCACCACUCAAGCCUCGCUUGGUAUUGGGCAACGCGGUCCGCCGCGUGCCUCAAAUCGUCCGGCUGGGUCUUCUGUCCCCCAAGCGUUGUGGAAACUAUUCGCUAAAGGGUGUUCGGGAGGCUACGCCGUAAAACAACCCCAUUUCUAAGGUUGACCUCGGAUCAGGUAGGGAUACCCGCUGAACUUAAGCAUAUCAAUAAGCGGAGGA
This 331-nucleotide unclassified non-coding RNA is filed under the name soil metagenome. Its description in RNAcentral is "partial contains 5.8S ribosomal RNA, internal transcribed spacer 2, and large subunit ribosomal RNA". The stretch from base 1 to 120 matches the Rfam family "5.8S ribosomal RNA", at positions 35 to 154 of the family's 154-position model. The record is from RNAcentral.